UUUGACCUCAAAUCAGGUAGGACU
Molecule: non-coding RNA, 24 nt
Filed under: Candida albicans
Lineage: Eukaryota; Fungi; Ascomycota; Pichiomycetes; Serinales; Debaryomycetaceae
Also listed under: 2 other names
Source: RNAcentral